RNAcentral lists this transfer RNA (63 nucleotides) under Formicosepsis sp. LX2018-01. RNAcentral describes it as "tRNA-Arg". The record is from RNAcentral. Lineage: Eukaryota; Metazoa; Arthropoda; Insecta; Diptera; Cypselosomatidae.
GAAUAUGAAGCGAUAAUUUGCAGUUAGUUUCGACCUAAUCUUAGGUACAUUUACCCUUAUUCU